GGGGGCUGUGGCUCAGUGGUACAGCCUCUGCUUUGCAUGCGCAAUGCCCCGAGUUCGAUUCCUGACAUCUCCC
Molecule: transfer RNA, 73 nt
Filed under: Sphaerodactylus townsendi
Lineage: Eukaryota; Metazoa; Chordata; Lepidosauria; Squamata; Sphaerodactylidae
Description: tRNA-Ala
Rfam family: tRNA
About the family: Transfer RNA (tRNA) molecules are approximately 80 nucleotides in length.
Source: RNAcentral